GUCGUAACAUGGUUUCCGUAGGUGAACCUGCGGAAGGAUCAUUG
RNAcentral lists this ribosomal RNA (44 nucleotides) under Ruehssia carvalhoi. Its description in RNAcentral is "Marsdenia carvalhoi partial 18S ribosomal RNA". It matches the Rfam family "Eukaryotic small subunit ribosomal RNA", at positions 1788 to 1831 of the family's 1831-position model. The record is from RNAcentral. Lineage: Eukaryota; Viridiplantae; Streptophyta; Magnoliopsida; Gentianales; Apocynaceae.